GGGGAAUAUUGCACAAUGGGGGAAACCCUGAUGCAGCAACGCCGCGUGAAGGAUGAAGGUUUUCGGAUUGUAAACUUCUUUAGUCAGGGACGAAAAAAUGACGGUACCUGAAGAAUAAGCCACGGCUAACUACGUGCCAGCAGCCGCGGUAAUACGUAGGUGGCAAGCGUUGCCCGGAAUUACUGGGUGUAAAGGGCGUGUAGGCGGGAAUGUAAGUCAGAUGUGAAAUCCCAGGGCUUAACCCUGGAGCUGCAUCUGAAACUAUGUUUCUUGAGUGCCGGAGAGGAAAGCGGAAUUCCUAGUGUAGCGGUGAAAUGCGUAGAGAUCGGGAGGAACACCAGUGGCGAAGGCGGCCUACUGGGCUUUAACUGACGCUGAAGCACGAAAGCAUGGGGAGCAAAC
Molecule: ribosomal RNA, 402 nt
Filed under: uncultured bacterium
Lineage: Bacteria
Description: bacterial SSU rRNA
Rfam family: Bacterial small subunit ribosomal RNA
Source: RNAcentral